CCUACGGGAGGCAGCAGUGAGGAAUAUUGGUCAAUGGACGAGAGUCUGAACCAGCCAAGUAGCGUGAAGGAUGACUGCCCUAUGGGUUGUAAACUUCGUUUAUAAAAGAAUAAAACGAGGCACGUGUGCCUUUAUGCAUGUACUUUAUGAAUAAGGAUCGGCGAACUCCGUGCCAGCAGCCGCGGUAAUACGGAGGAUCCGAGCGUUAUCCGGCUUUAUUGGGUUUAAAGGGAGCGUAGAUGGGUUGUUAAGUCAGUUGUGAAAGUUUGCGGCUCAACCGUAAAAUUGCAAUUGAUACUGGCAGUCUUGAGUACAGUUGAGGUAGGCGGAAUUCGUGGUGUAGCGGUGAAAUGCUUAGAUAUCACGAAGAACCCCGAUUGCGAAGGCAGCUUACUAAACUGUGACUGACAUUGAUGCUCGAAAGUGUGGGUAUCAAACAGGAUUAGAUACCCCUGUAGUC
This 460-nucleotide ribosomal RNA is filed under the name uncultured bacterium. Its description in RNAcentral is "partial 16S ribosomal RNA". It matches the Rfam family "Bacterial small subunit ribosomal RNA", at positions 338 to 795 of the family's 1533-position model. The record is from RNAcentral.